Pseudopipra pipra is the source of this 802-nucleotide long non-coding RNA. RefSeq lists it as uncharacterized. The record is from RefSeq and is a predicted model, not a curated record. Lineage: Eukaryota; Metazoa; Chordata; Aves; Passeriformes; Pipridae. The transcript has 3 exons.
CAAGGAAAGGUGUAAGAAUCCAUUUGGUUUUUGACAACUGUACCUGAAGAAAGCGGGGUGGAUAGGGCUGUGGCUGCCACUGAGACUGAUCUGGUUUAUCAAGAUGCCCGUGGUGGCUCCUGGAGCACGGGGAGAUACUGUUGUACAGUGUUGACCUGCUGCUCUCCCUAAUACACCUCAGGACAUCAUGGGCCUCUUGGUCACAAGGACACACUGCCGGCUUAUGCACAGCUUAUUGUCCAUGAGGACCCCCAAGUCCUUCUCCAUGGAACUGCUUUCUGGCACCUUUUUUGUAUGAGGUGGAGCACCUUGAAGGCCCCUGGGAGUGAUUGUGCCAUUUCAUCCAAACUGCAAUUCUACGGAGGUCAAAUCAAACUACAUCACAUGAAUGUGUAGCCCUUGAUGCCUCAAGUUUAAAAGCAGAGAAUCAAGGAAGACAACAAUAAAGAAAAGGCAGCAUGCAUAAAGGUAAUUUGAAUGGUAAGUUAAUAUAUCACUCUAUAAGACAGAUAAACACUGCAUUUUAUAUGUGGAUUAUAUAAAGCAUCAAAUAUACUUUAACAUUACACUUUCUAUUGCUUCUUAACAAAGGAUGUGAAGCAGUUGAAUCUUUUCCUUGUUUUUUACCAGCUACAAUAAAACCAGCUCUAUUAGUAGUUUUAUUUGCUUUCAAAUUGGGAGUAUAAAAACUUACAUCCACCCAAGAUAUCCAGGCAACACACCAUCUUACAAUAUACAGCAAAUUGCUUUCUGACUUUUGUCUUGUAAAAAGGAAACUGAACAGAGUUAGUUACUCACCGAA